Molecule: ribosomal RNA, 460 nt
Filed under: Dactylonectria macrodidyma
Lineage: Eukaryota; Fungi; Ascomycota; Sordariomycetes; Hypocreales; Nectriaceae
Description: eukaryotic LSU rRNA
Rfam family: 5.8S ribosomal RNA (bases 98-251)
Source: RNAcentral
GUUGCCUCGGCGGUGCCUGUUCCGACAGCCCGCCAGAGGACCCCAAACCCUGAUUACAUUUAAGAAGUCUUCUGAGUAAACCGAUUAAAUAAAUCAAAACUUUCAACAACGGAUCUCUUGGUUCUGGCAUCGAUGAAGAACGCAGCGAAAUGCGAUAAGUAAUGUGAAUUGCAGAAUUCAGUGAAUCAUCGAAUCUUUGAACGCACAUUGCGCCCGCUAGUAUUCUGGCGGGCAUGCCUGUCCGAGCGUCAUUUCAACCCUCAAGCCCCCGGGCUUGGUGUUGGGGAUCGGCGAGCCUCCGCGCCCGCCGUCCCCUAAAUCUAGUGGCGGUCUCGCUGUAGCUUCCUCUGCGUAGUAGCACACCUCGCACUGGGAAACAGCGCGGCCACGCCGUUAAACCCCCAACUUCUGAACGUUUGACCUCGGAUCAGGUAGGAAUACCCGCUGAACUUAAGCAUAU